Molecule: ribosomal RNA, 258 nt
Filed under: uncultured bacterium
Lineage: Bacteria
Description: partial 16S ribosomal RNA
Rfam family: Bacterial small subunit ribosomal RNA
Source: RNAcentral
UACGUAGGGUGCGAGCGUUGUCCGGAAUUAUUGGGCGUAAAGAGCUCGUAGGCGGUGUGUCACGUCGGCCGUGAAAACCUGCAGCUUAACUGUGGGCGUGCGGUCGAUACGGGCAUCACUGGAGUUCGGCAGGGGAGACUGGAAUUCCUGGUGUAGCGGUGAAAUGCGCAGAUAUCAGGAGGAACACCGGUGGCGAAGGCGGGUCUCUGGGCCGAUACUGACGCUGGAGGAGCGAAAAGCCGUGGGGGAGCAAACAGG